CGCAUGCGCGUCGCGCUCUCACUACGGAAGCGCAGAAAGGAAACGGCAGCGAUCGCAGCUCCGGUGCCGCUCAGUUUGGACUAAAUAAAGGCGGAUAAAAUCCAUCACGAUGUCGGGAUUUGACUCAAAUCCAUUCGCAGAUCCAGUCGACGUCAAUCCCUUUCAGGAUCCGUCUGUCACUCAGGUGACGAACUCUGGAGUGGAUCACAUUGAAAGCUUUAGUCCGUUUCCGGAUGGGAAUCAGGGAUCCACUAUUCCAGCAUCAAGCGCCCCGACUCAACCUGCUGUCCUGCAGCCGUCAGUCGAGCCCAGUCCACAGGCCACAGCUGCCGCUGCGCAGGCCAGUCUGAUCAAACAACAGGAGGAGCUGGAGAGAAAAGCAGCAGAGCUGGAGAGAAGAGAACAAGAGCUGCAGAGUAGAGGAGCACCCACAGGCAAACAGAACAACUGGCCUCCCCUGCCCAAGAGAUUUCCCAUCCAGCCUUGCUUCUACCAGGACUUCUCAGAGGAGAUCCCUCAGGAGCACCAGCGUCUCUGCAAGAUGAUCUACUACCUGUGGAUGUGGGAGUGUGUGACGCUGUUUCUGAAUGUUCUGGCGUGUCUGGCUGAUUUCACCACUAACUCAGAGGCAGGCGUUGACUUCGGCCUCUCCAUCCUCUGGUUCAUCCUCUUCGCUCCCUGCUCCUUCAUCUGCUGGUUCAGGCCCGUCUAUAAGGCCUUCAGGUCUGACAGCUCCUUCAAUUUCUUCUUCUUCUUCUUCGUUUUCUUCGCUCAAAUCGUCAUUUCCGUCAUCCAGGCUGUGGGGAUUCCCAAAUGGGGAAACAGAUGUAUUUCUCUUCCUGUCUCUCCGAGCGUCUCUUCCUGCACUAACGGUUUUCUGCUGCUGGACUUCCUGUAAAACUCUUGCUUCCUGUCUGCAGUUUGUCGCUCUUCAAUGUUCUUCUUCCCUCAUCGGCUGGAUUUCCGCCAUAUCAGUGAUCGGCUCUAAUAAAGCAGUGGGAGCCAUUAUGAUGGUGGUUGCGGCUUUCUUUACAGCCGCUGCGGCGCUCUCUGUCGUUUUACUCAAAAUGGUUCAUUCGCACUAUCGCCGCACCGGGGCCAGUUUCCAGAAGGCACAGCAGGAGUUUUCUCAGGGUGUCCUGACAAACCGCACUUUCCAGAGCGCAGCCACUAGUGCCGCCACCACGGCCGCCCAGAGCUCACUGCAGAGGAACUAGAACCACAAAAACAGCACCAGAUCACACGUCUCCUUCCCAGAAUCCUCUGCUCAUUGGCCUGCUGCUCCAAAGCCCAGCUACGGCCCCAAAACUCCAUCGGGUCCCAGUACGGACUGCAGAGGCACUACUUUCAUGGUUAUUUUUGGGUUUUUGAAGGCGAAGGUAUGAAGCGUAAAUGUUUGUAUAUUUGUGUGUGCGCAGGAGUAGUCAUCCACAUCAGUAGUGCUGUAAAUAUAUAUAUAUAAAGUAAUUUAACGUUUCCCAGUCAUGCAAAGUGGUACUUAAGUGUCCUUAAAUUAAAAUGAUCAUGAAGGAGCUCAUCUGUUAAAGCCUUGAUGAAGUUUAGAUGUUAUAACAAGAGUUCUAGAUGUAAAUAAUGUUCUCUAGGGAAUGUGCCAUGUGCUUUCCUUGCUCAUAUUUGAUUUGCUGAAAAGAUUUUCCUAUUUGUGCCAAACAUAAUGACAUGCAUCAUGGGAAGCGGUAAACGUUUAUUGUCUUAAUAGUAAGACUGAAGGUUUGGGUUGGAUUUUUUACAUUGGGUUUAAUUCAUGCUGCAUCGUCUGUUGAUUGUGUACAAGCUUGUUUUUUUAGGUAGCUGAUUAUAAACGGUCCAAUCAAAUCAGUUUUACAUGAACGUAAAUUUAAUUACUUUUUUUAAAGCCUUUUGAAACAAAGCGCUCCUGAAAUGUGUUGAUAUAAAAUACCACUUAGAGACGGCUACACAAUGUUAUCAGAUUAGAUUUGAAGAUGUUUUUCAUGGUAUUUUUUGAACUAAUUAAAUUUUUCUGAUUAACA
Danio rerio (zebrafish) is the source of this 2012-nucleotide non-coding RNA. Lineage: Eukaryota; Metazoa; Chordata; Actinopteri; Cypriniformes; Danionidae. The record is from RefSeq and is a predicted model, not a curated record.